UACGAAGGGGGCGAGCGUUGUCCGGAAUCACUGGGCGUAAAGGGCGCGUAGGCGGCUUCUCAAGCGUGCGGUGAAAGCUCGGGGCUCAACUCCGAGUCGGCCGUGCGAACUGGGCUCACUGGAGCAUAGUAGAGGCAGGUGGAAUUCCGGGUGUAGCGGUGGAAUGCGUAGAGAUCCGGAAGAACACCGGUGGCGAAGGCGGCCUGCUGGGCUAUGGCUGACACUGAGGCGCGACAGCGUGGGGAGCAAACAGG
RNAcentral lists this ribosomal RNA (254 nucleotides) under uncultured bacterium. Its description in RNAcentral is "partial 16S ribosomal RNA". It matches the Rfam family "Bacterial small subunit ribosomal RNA", at positions 524 to 776 of the family's 1533-position model. The record is from RNAcentral.